This 492-nucleotide ribosomal RNA is filed under the name uncultured bacterium. RNAcentral's name for it is "partial 16S ribosomal RNA". It matches the Rfam family "Bacterial small subunit ribosomal RNA", at positions 29 to 507 of the family's 1533-position model. The record is from RNAcentral.
AGUGAACGCUGGCGGUAGGCCUAACACAUGCAAGUCGAACGGCAGCACAGUAAGAGCUUGCUCUUACGGGUGGCGAGUGGCGGACGGGUGAGGAAUACAUCGGAAUCUACUUUUUCGUGGGGGAUAACGUAGGGAAACUUACGCUAAUACCGCAUACGACCUACGGGUGAAAGCAGGGGAUCUUCGGACCUUGCGCGAUUGAAUGAGCCGAUGUCGGAUUAGCUAGUUGGCGGGGUAAAGGCCCACCAAGGCGACGAUCCGUAGCUGGUCUGAGAGGAUGAUCAGCCACACUGGAACUGAGACACGGUCCAGACUCCCACGGGAGGCAGCAGUGGGGAAUAUUGGACAAUGGGCGCAAGCCUGAUCCAGCCAUACCGCGUGGGUGAAGAAGGCCUUCGGGUUGUAAAGCCCUUUUGUUGGGAAAGAAAAGCAGCAGGUUAAUACCCCGCUGUUCUGACGGUACCCAAAGAAUAAGCACCGGCUAACCUCGUG